GUUACUCCAAUAAAUUCGAAUAAAUUUACGAACGCAAUCGGAAGAAGAAUGAUUUCGUGCGAAUCCGUCAUAACGUCUCGCGCAUGCGCGGAAAUUUUUCUCGAGCACGCGUCGCGCGUCGCUUGUCUCGUUCAUUUCCAAUUGAAUCUCUCAAGAGAUAGGCUGUGCUCCAAGUAGCUCCAAGAAGUGCUGGAUUUAUAGAGCCUCCUCGCUAUCACUUCGAGCGUCGAAGAGCACCCGCUAUAAGUAACUCGCUCUUAUCGCAAUCACAAUUUUAAUGAAUAUUGGAAAAGAGAAUUUGUAUAAUAUGUAUACAAAUGGCGAGAUUUAUCCUAAUGAGAUUUUUCUUAAAAUCAGCGAUUCAUAUGUUCAUUUGAAAGAUGGAUGAUUGCAGCUUCUAAUUAUAAAAUGAAUUAUAGUACAAGAAAUAUAUAAAUGGGAAACAAUGGCAAGAAUUUUUUUUAUUGAUAUGCCGCGCAAUUGCAACAAGUGCAUUAUACAUUGAAGUUUCUUAUGAAGAUUUCAUGAUCGAUAACAACAUAUACAUAUGUAAUCCACAUUGGCAUUAUUUGAAGAUACAACAAGAAGAUUAUCUUUGUUACAGACUCAACAAAUACUACUUUAAUAUUCAAAUGAAAUCUUUCUAAUAUAAAGAUGAACAUAAGAAACAAGAAAUAGAAGAAAUGAUGUACAAUAAAUAAUAUGGAUUAUGGACAAGUAAUAAAUAGCAAAAGAAAAUA
Camponotus floridanus (Florida carpenter ant) is the source of this 740-nucleotide long non-coding RNA. RefSeq lists it as uncharacterized. The transcript is spliced from 8 exons. NCBI's taxonomy places the organism in Eukaryota, Metazoa, Arthropoda, Insecta, Hymenoptera, Formicidae. The record is from RefSeq and is a predicted model, not a curated record.